This 119-nucleotide ribosomal RNA is filed under the name Pteropus alecto (black flying fox). Lineage: Eukaryota; Metazoa; Chordata; Mammalia; Chiroptera; Pteropodidae. The record is from RNAcentral.
GUCUACGGCCAUGCUGCCCUGAGCAAGCCCGAGCCCGGCCGAUCUUGGAAGCUAAGCAGGGUCGGGCCUGGUUAUUACUUGGAUGGGAGACCACCUAGGAAGACCAGGUACUGUAGGCG